UACGUAGGUGACCAGCGUUGUCCGGAUUUACUGGGCGUAAAGAGCGCGCAGGCGGUCGUUCAAGUCGAGUGUGAAAGCCCCCGGCUCAACUGGGGAGGGUCACUUGAUACUGAUCGACUCGAAGGCAGGAGAGGGAAGCGGAAUUCCCGGUGUAGUGGUGAAAUGCGUAGAUAUCGGGAGGAACACCAGUGGCGAAGGCGACUUCCUGGCCUGUUCUUGACGCUGAGGCGCGAAAGCUAGGGGAGCAAACGGG
Molecule: ribosomal RNA, 253 nt
Filed under: uncultured bacterium
Lineage: Bacteria
Description: partial 16S ribosomal RNA
Rfam family: Bacterial small subunit ribosomal RNA
Source: RNAcentral